AUUGAACGCUGGCGGCAUGCCUUACACAUGCCAGUCGAACGGCAGCGCGGACUUCGGUCUGGCGGCGAGUGCGAACGGGUGAGUAAUACAUCGGAACGUACCCUGUUGUGGGGGAUAACUAGUCGAAAGAUUAGCUAAUACCGCAUACGACCUGAGGGUGAAAGUGGGGGACCGCAAGGCCUCACGCAGCAGGAGCGGCCGAUGUCUGAUUAGCUAGUUGGUGGGGUAAAGGCCCACCAAGGCGACGAUCAGUAGCUAGUCUGAGAGGACGAUCAGCCACACUGGGACUGAGACACGGCCCAGACUCCUACGGGAGGCAGCAGUGGGGAAUUUUGGACAAUGGGGGCAACCCUGAUCCAGCAAUGCCGCGUGUGUGAAGAAGGCCUUCGGGUUGUAAAGCACUUUUGUCCGGAAAGAAAUCGCGCUGGUUAAUACCUGGCGUGGAUGACGGUACCGGAAGAAUAAGCACCGGCUAACUACGUG
RNAcentral lists this ribosomal RNA (483 nucleotides) under uncultured bacterium. RNAcentral describes it as "partial 16S ribosomal RNA". It matches the Rfam family "Bacterial small subunit ribosomal RNA", at positions 30 to 507 of the family's 1533-position model. The record is from RNAcentral.